AGCUAAUAAACUUUAAUAAGUAUAUGUUUUGAAAACAUAAUAUAGAAGAUAAACCUUCUAUUAGCUU
This 67-nucleotide transfer RNA is filed under the name Rhomboptera ligata. Its description in RNAcentral is "tRNA-Ser". Lineage: Eukaryota; Metazoa; Arthropoda; Insecta; Orthoptera; Tettigoniidae. The record is from RNAcentral.